AGAGUUUGAUCCUGGCUCAGGACGAACGCUGGCGGCGUGCUUAACACAUGCAAGUCGAGCGAUGAAGCUCCUUCGGGAGUGGAUUAGCGGCGGACGGGUGAGUAACACGUGGGUAACCUGCCUCAUAGAGGGGAAUAGCCUUUCGAAAGGAAGAUUAAUACCGCAUAAGAUUGUAGUACCGCAUGGUACAGCAAUUAAAGGAGUAAUCCGCUAUGAGAUGGACCCGCGUCGCAUUAGCUAGUUGGUGAGGUAACGGCUCACCAAGGCGACGAUGCGUAGCCGACCUGAGAGGGUGAUCGGCCACAUUGGGACUGAGACACGGCCCAGACUCCUACGGGAGGCAGCAGUGGGGAAUAUUGCACAAUGGGGGAAACCCUGAUGCAGCAACGCCGCGUGAGUGAUGACGGUCUUCGGAUUGUAAAGCUCUGUCUUUAGGGACGAUAAUGACGGUACCUAAGGAGGAAGCCACGGCUAACUACGUGCCAGCAGCCGCGGUAAUACGUAGGUGGCAAGCGUUGUCCGGAUU
Molecule: ribosomal RNA, 526 nt
Filed under: uncultured Clostridium sp.
Lineage: Bacteria; Bacillati; Bacillota; Clostridia; Eubacteriales; Clostridiaceae
Description: bacterial SSU rRNA
Rfam family: Bacterial small subunit ribosomal RNA
Source: RNAcentral